RNAcentral lists this ribosomal RNA (465 nucleotides) under uncultured bacterium. Its description in RNAcentral is "partial 16S ribosomal RNA". It matches the Rfam family "Bacterial small subunit ribosomal RNA", at positions 28 to 507 of the family's 1533-position model. The record is from RNAcentral.
GACGAACGCUGGCGGCGUGCUUAACACAUGCAAGUCGAACGGAAAGGCCCCUUUGGGGGUCCUCGAGUGGCGAACGGGUGAGUAACACGUGAGUAACCUGCCCUUGACUUCGGGAUAACUUCAGGAAACUGGGGCUAAUACCGGAUAGGAAUCCUUGCUGCAUGGUGGGGGUUGGAAAGCUUCGGCGGUUUUGGAUGGACUCGCGGCGUAUCAGCUUGUUGGUGGGGUAGUGGCUUACCAAGGCUUUGACGGGUAGCCGGCCUGAGAGGGCGACCGGCAACAUUGGGACUGAGAUACGGCCCAGACUCCGACGGGAGGCAGCAGUGGGGAAUAUUGCACGAUGGGCGGAAGCCUGAUGCAGCAACGCCGCGUGCGGGAUGACGGCCUUCGGGUUGUAAACCGAUUUCAGCAGGGGCGAAGCUUGUGGUGACGGUACCUGCAGAAGAAGCACCGGCUAACUACGUG